GACGAACGCUGGCGGCGUGCUUAACACAUGCAAGUCGAACGGAAAGGCCCUGCUUUUGUGGGGUGCUCGAGUGGCGAACGGGUGAGUAACACGUGAGUAACCUGCCCUUGACUUUGGGAUAACUUCAGGAAACUGGGGCUAAUACCGGAUAGGAGCUCCUGCUGCAUGGUGGGGGUUGGAAAGUUUCGGCGGUUGGGGAUGGACUCGCGGCUUAUCAGCUUGUUGGUGGGGUAGUGGCUUACCAAGGCUUUGACGGGUAGCCGGCCUGAGAGGGUGACCGGCCAAAUGGGGACGGAGAUACGGCCCAGACUCCUACGGGAGGCAGCAGUGGGGAAUAUUGCACAAGGGGCGGAAGCCUGAUGCAGCAACCCCGCGGGCGGGAUGAGGGCUUUCGGGUUGUAACCCCCUUUCGCCUGGGAAGAAGGGGGAGUGAGGGGAAUGGGAAAAGGAGCACCGGCUAACUACGU
Molecule: ribosomal RNA, 467 nt
Filed under: uncultured bacterium
Lineage: Bacteria
Description: partial 16S ribosomal RNA
Rfam family: Bacterial small subunit ribosomal RNA
Source: RNAcentral